GGUUCCAUGGUGUAAUGGUCAGCACUCUGGACAUUGAAUCCAGUGAUCCGAGUUCAAGUCUUGGUGGAACCU
This 72-nucleotide transfer RNA is filed under the name Hippoglossus stenolepis (Pacific halibut). RNAcentral describes it as "tRNA-Gln". It matches the Rfam family "tRNA". From Rfam's summary of the family: Transfer RNA (tRNA) molecules are approximately 80 nucleotides in length. Their secondary structure includes four short double-helical elements and three loops (D, anti-codon, and T loops). Lineage: Eukaryota; Metazoa; Chordata; Actinopteri; Pleuronectiformes; Pleuronectidae. The record is from RNAcentral.